Talpa occidentalis (Iberian mole) is the source of this 3538-nucleotide long non-coding RNA. RefSeq lists it as uncharacterized. The record is from RefSeq and is a predicted model, not a curated record. The transcript has 3 exons. NCBI's taxonomy places the organism in Eukaryota, Metazoa, Chordata, Mammalia, Eulipotyphla, Talpidae.
UCCCACGCUGCGACUCAGUGAGGCCGCGGGGGCCUUCCGCGGCCGGAGAAGCCGGGCGCUGCAGCUUGUGUGUACUUGGGGUAGCAAUGCGAGUCCCCUCCGGAGUAGAGUACUGGGAGACUCCCGGGAGCGGCUCAGGGAAAUGCUGAGGUUCUCCACAAACCCAUCCUUUCCGCAAACUUAUUUUGCGCAGCGCUGAGAACGCAAAAAUGCGAGGGCGGAUCUCUGGCCGGCGAGGCUGAUGGGGAGAGGAUAGUGUUAUACUUGAGUAUCACACACAGACUUGGGGCAGUAGAGGAAAAGGCGAAUCUGACACUUCCUGGGUGUCACGGUUUUUCCACAGGCUGAGAGAGGUGGGCCCCACAGCCAAUCCAGAGAUGAGAAGAUUCACCAGAGAAAGAGUGGAGAGCAGAACAGGCAGAUCUACUACUGAAGGACACUGCUGAGGGGAGCAGUGGGGGAAACAGGAGAGGUCUGCUGUGCCACAUGACAGGACUUCAAAAUUCCACACAGAAAAUUCUUCAAAUGGAAAGAUGUCAAAAAGACGGAUUUCCAAAGCCAACUGCCUCCUGUACCAUAUGGAUCUCUUCAAGCAGAGCUGCAUCUUUCAAUUUCAGCUGCAUGAGAGAAGGAAGGGAAGGACACACAUAAUGUCUGAUAUACAUUCAUGGGGCCACAGCUAAACAACAUAGUUUCUAUGGAUGGAAUUCAGUCUUCUUAUAUGCUCUACUUGUUAACUCCAUUAAAAGACCUUGGAAUAUGUGCUGGUUACAAGGACAUGUUCACUUUAAUGAAAAUUCACCAAACGGUAUGAACACUCACAAAUGGGAGAACCACUCACUUCCCUCUAAUCUUUGUGCUUUUUUUUGUGUGUGAAAUAAUUUUAAUGAUGUUUAUUUUUAAAAGAGUUCACCCAACAUAUUUUCACUCAACAUAUCCUGACUAGUAUAUAAUAGUCCCACUGGCAAAUGACAGAAAGGGAUUAAAUACAUGAGAAUCAAAGACCUUAGUCUGAAUUUAAUUUUAGAGUCUAGAUGUGUAGUAGAGACAUCUACUCAAUACCCACAAAAUCUUCAUUAUUUUUUCAGGGCAACAAGCCACAUUUUCUGCUUUUGAAGCUAGGGGUAAUCUUAUGACCAAUUGUGGCCAAUAAAAUAUAAGCUAAAGUAAUUGCUCUUUAAAGAGAGGUGAAGUAGCUAGCACAGCCCCUUUGUUCUUUAUUGUGAUAAAACAUUGAUAUGGUGGUUACAACCCCACUGCCUUGCAACUAGAAGGGGUAGGAACUGUAUGCUAUGAGUGGUAGAGCAGAAAAGCAGAAAGGUUGGAUCUUUGAUGACAUUAAGGAGCUGUGUUAGCUACUAUGAAAUUUACAUUAGCUGAGUAAAAUAAAACUAUUAAUUUGUUUAAGGCACUGUAUUUCGAGACAAGUAGGCAAGCCAAAUCUUGCCUUCUGCCUAAGUUUUUUUUUUUUAAGUAAAGAUGUUUUGAAAUACAGCUAUACUCAUUUAUUUUUUAUGACUGUUUUUACACUACAAGAGCAGAGUAUAAUAACAAUAAAGACCAUUUGGCCCACAAAGCCUAAAAUAGUUCCCACUCUUGCCUCUAUAGAAAAAAUUUGUUGACCCUUAUACUAGAUCUUCGUUUUACACAUGAGGAAAAUGAGGCCCAGAGAGGUUAAUAAAGUAAAUUAAUGGUCAAACUAGGACUAUAAUUUAGGUUGAUUGACUCCCAGGUCAUCUGUCUUUUCAUUAAACUAUAUCCUCUGAAGAGGUGUAAAGAAGAUCCCCCAAGGUAAUAUGUAGAUUAUCAUUCCCAACCCAGCAGCCCUAUGAUAAUGACAAAGGUAGUAAAAGCCUUGAGAAAAAUAAUUCACAUCUUAAAAUGCUACAAAGUCCAGAAUUUAGUCAGCACCUUCCUCCCAAGUUUCCAACCUCAAUACAGUACAAAGAGCAGAGGCAUCUGCAUCAUACCUUCAGCGUGUACUUGUAGGCCUGCUCAGCUUCCAGUUGCCGUCCAGCCUGAAAAAAAAAGAAAAGCAGCUGGAGAUGAUACUACACCAUCAACUGUCUGUCUCUCUCUCUUUCUCCAUCCUUAGCUAGUCAUUUGUUCCUCUCCACAUAAUAGCAAAUAUUUAUAAAUUGUUAAUGUUGCAGUUUACAUUGUUUUGUUUUCUUCACCAUUAUACUUCACAAGUUUGCAUAUAACAUCAUACUAGGGAAAGCUUAUACAUCAAUGUAAGAACGACAAAAUGUUCAGACUACAAGGAAACUUAGGGAUUAUCUAAUUCAAUUUCCUGAUGUGUGUUAGUACAUGGUAAAUUUUGUUGUGUGUGUGUGUGUUUUUUUUUAAGAGAAAGAGUUUGUUAGGGAGAAAAGGAACAGAAAUUGGUAAAUUUCUUAUUAAUUCACAAAUUUUGCUUUAUCCAAAAGACUUCCCCUAAUAUCUACAUCUUGAAGUUUUUCCAACUGAAGUUUAGUAAAUUCCAGGGGCAUUUUCUAGCACAUUGUCCUUUUCUCUUUGACCCUGAAUUAAUUAUAGCAUCUUUUUAAGUUUCUAACUAUAUGUGAGCCUUUUGGUCUAUGUUUAGUUGUUGCUUUAUGAUUUUACUGCACUGUAAUUCAUAUAUAUUUGUUGAGUCUCUUUGUGGUCUGUGUGUUCAACUUUUAUGAUUAACUCAAUUGUGCUUGGAAAAUAUAUGUAUUCUCUAAUUGUUGAAGGUAGAGUAUCAUUUUGAUGUUUGAGCUUAACUUUCCCGUUUUAUUAAAAUUUUACAUGCCCUAAUUUUUUUCUUAUUUAAUCUAUCAGUUUUUGAGAAAAGUAUGUUUAAAUCUUCCAUUUUGACCUUUUACUUUAAAGAUGAAGAAACUGAGGCCUAAAUAUUAUAGUUUGUGACUUUCCCAAAGUCCCACAGCUAGCUGUGGCAGAGCUAGAAUAAGCACUGAGAUAUUUCUCAUAAUGCUAUUCAGGAUAUUUACUCCAAAGAGAAAAUCCACUAAUUUUCAUUUUGCUCAAUUUUCUUAUAAUCACUAUACUCCCUUGUCAGUUUGGUUUCAUAUUGCUCAAUGGAAAACUGAAGUCCAUUUGUAUUAUUGCCAAUGCAAUUUUAGGCUAGUAUGCAAAUUAAGCAAAUGUGAGAAAUAUUUUCUAUAUGUAAAACAUCCAAAAUACUCAUCACCACCUAAUUGCCCAUCUAUUUGAAGGAUAAGCAUCCUCAGCCAUAGUUCAAUAGGAAGAAAUGAUUCAGGAAGACUAGCAGAGCAAUUCGUUUGCUGGUCCAUGAAACUUAUUUACAUUCUGCUAAAAUAAUGUUCCCAUUUUAAAAAUUUAUUUUCUUAAAAAAAUUAUAAUAAAGUGAAAAAAUCAAAAUCAACAAGCAACUAUAAACCAGAGACAUUCUGCAGCAGGGGAGAAGAGUAGGGUCAAACCAGGGGUGGGACCAGCACAAGAGACUAUGGUGAUAGUACAUGGGUGAAUUGGUGGUGGGAAUUUCACAGGGACUAUACCGGAAUUGAGAACGCACACAUUGUAAAAAUGAAGA